AUUGGGAGACUCACUGCUCUUGUUAAACUUGAUCUGUCAAACAACAAUAUCAACGGCUCAAUUCCUCAUUCCAUUGGAAAUUUGGCAAGUUUAUCUUUUCUUGACCUUGAGGAAAAUGGACUUUCGGGACCCAUACCUUCAGAAAUUGGGAGACUCACUGCUCUUGUUAAACUUGACCUAUCAAACAACAAUAUCAACGGCUCAAUUCCUCAUUCCAUUGGAAAUUUGGCAAGUUUAUCUUUUCUUGACCUCGAGGAAAAUGGACUUUCGGGACCCAUACCUUCAGAAAUUGGGAGACUUGCUGCUCUUGAUGAACUUGACCUAUCAAACAACAAUAUCAACGGCUCAAUUCCUCGUUCCAUUGGAAAUUUGACAAGUUUAUCUUUUCUUGACCUCAAGGAAAAUGGACUUUCGGGACCCAUACCUUCAGAAAUUGGGAGGCUCACUGCUCUUGUUGAACUUCACCUAUCAAACAACAAUAUCAACGGCUCAAUUCCUCAUUCCAUUGGAAAUUUGACAAGUUUAUCUCUUCUUAGCCUUGAGGAAAAUGGACUUUCGGGACCCAUACCUUCAGAAAUUGGGAGACUCACUGCUCUUGUUAAACUUGACCUAUCAAACAACAAUAUCAACGGCUC
RNAcentral lists this long non-coding RNA (635 nucleotides) under Eucalyptus grandis. Its description in RNAcentral is "long non-coding RNA (EGRA_LNC006481)". Lineage: Eukaryota; Viridiplantae; Streptophyta; Magnoliopsida; Myrtales; Myrtaceae. The record is from RNAcentral.